RNAcentral lists this ribosomal RNA (253 nucleotides) under uncultured bacterium. RNAcentral's name for it is "partial 16S ribosomal RNA". It matches the Rfam family "Bacterial small subunit ribosomal RNA", at positions 524 to 776 of the family's 1533-position model. The record is from RNAcentral.
UACAGAGGUGGCAAGCGUUGUUCGGAAUUACUGGGCGUAAAGGGCGCGUAGGCGGCCUUCUAAGUCAGACGUGAAAUCCCCCGGCUUAACCUGGGAACUGCGUCUGAUACUGUUUUUCUUGAGUUCGGGAGAGGUUGAUGGAAUUCCAGGUGUAGCGGUGAAAUGCGUAGAUAUCUGGAAGAACACCAGUGGCGAAGGCGGUCAACUGGCCCGAAACUGACGCUGAGGCACGAAAGCGUGGGUAGCGAACAGG